RNAcentral lists this transfer RNA (89 nucleotides) under Candidatus Segatella violae. Its description in RNAcentral is "tRNA-Leu". It matches the Rfam family "tRNA". Rfam says of the family: Transfer RNA (tRNA) molecules are approximately 80 nucleotides in length. Their secondary structure includes four short double-helical elements and three loops (D, anti-codon, and T loops). The record is from RNAcentral. Lineage: Bacteria; Pseudomonadati; Bacteroidota; Bacteroidia; Bacteroidales; Prevotellaceae.
GCCGCAAUGGUGGAAUUGGUAGACACGAGGGACUUAAAAUCCCUUGGCCAGAAAUGGCUGUGCGGGUUCGAGUCCCGCUCGCGGCACCU